Molecule: ribosomal RNA, 253 nt
Filed under: uncultured bacterium
Lineage: Bacteria
Description: partial 16S ribosomal RNA
Rfam family: Bacterial small subunit ribosomal RNA
Source: RNAcentral
UACGUAGGUGACAAGCGUUGUCCGGAUUUACUGGGCGUAAAGAGCGCGCAGGCGGUCGAUCAAGUCGAGUGUGAAAGCCCCCGGCUCAACUGGGGAGGGUCAUUCGAUACUGAUCGACUCGAAGGCAGGAGAGGGUAGUGGAAUUCCCGGUGUAGUGGUGAAAUGCGUAGAGACCCGGAGGAACACCGGUGGCGAAGGCGGCUUCCUGGUCUGCAACUGACGCUGUGGCGCGAAAGCUAGGGGAGCAAACGGG